AGCGAACGCUGGCGGCAGGCUUAACACAUGCAAGUCGAACGGGCGUAGCAAUACGUCAGUGGCAGACGGGUGAGUAACGCGUGGGAACGUACCUUUUGGUUCGGAACAACCCAGGGAAACUUGGGCUAAUACCGGAUAAGCCCUUACGGGGAAAGAUUUAUCGCCGAAAGAUCGGCCCGCGUCUGAUUAGCUAGUUGGUGUGGUAACGGCGCACCAAGGCACGAUCAGUAGCUGGUCUGAGAGGAUGAUCAGCCACAUUGGGACUGAGACACGGCCCAAACUCCUACGGGAGGCAGCAGUGGGGAAUAUUGGACAAUGGGCGCAAGCCUGAUCCAGCCAUGCCGCGUGAGUGAUGAAGGCCCUAGGGUUGUAAAGCUCUUUCGCACGCGACGAUGAUGACGGUAGCGUGAG
RNAcentral lists this ribosomal RNA (411 nucleotides) under uncultured bacterium. Its description in RNAcentral is "bacterial SSU rRNA". It matches the Rfam family "Bacterial small subunit ribosomal RNA", at positions 29 to 484 of the family's 1533-position model. The record is from RNAcentral.